This 182-nucleotide ribosomal RNA is filed under the name Phymatolithon sp. 100-304. RNAcentral describes it as "partial 18S ribosomal RNA". It matches the Rfam family "Eukaryotic small subunit ribosomal RNA", at positions 102 to 306 of the family's 1831-position model. The record is from RNAcentral. Lineage: Eukaryota; Rhodophyta; Florideophyceae; Hapalidiales; Hapalidiaceae.
UAAAACAGCAAUAAUUUCUUCGAUGGUAACUUACUAUACGGAUAACCGUAGUAAUUCUAGAGCUAAUACGUGCCAUAAACGCGGGGUAACUCGUGGUGCUAAUUAGAUAACAACACCAACAUAUGGUGAUUCAUAAUUUUCUUUCUGAUCGCUGAUUCUUCGGCGACGCAUCGUUCAAAUUU